RNAcentral lists this ribosomal RNA (248 nucleotides) under bacterium AV-V-10-1. RNAcentral's name for it is "partial 16S ribosomal RNA". It matches the Rfam family "Bacterial small subunit ribosomal RNA", at positions 505 to 751 of the family's 1533-position model. The record is from RNAcentral.
GUGCCAGCAGCCGCGGUAAUAUGGAGGGUGCGAGCGUUAAUCGGAAUUACUGGGCGUAAAGCGCAUGCAGGUGGUUCAUUAAGUCAGAUGUGAAAGCCCGGGGCUCAACCUCGGAACUGCAUUUGAAACUGGUGAACUAGAGUGCUGUAGAGGGGGGUAGAAUUUCAGGUGUAGCGGUGAAAUGCGUAGCGUAUGUGAAGGAAUACCAGUGGCGAAGGCGGCCCCCUGGACAGACACUGACACUCAGA